Molecule: ribosomal RNA, 253 nt
Filed under: uncultured bacterium
Lineage: Bacteria
Description: partial 16S ribosomal RNA
Rfam family: Bacterial small subunit ribosomal RNA
Source: RNAcentral
UACGUAGGUGGCAAGCGUUGUCCGGAUUUAUUGGGUUUAAAGGGUGCGUAGGCGGCCUUGUAAGUCAGUGCUGAAAUAUCCCGGCUUAACCGGGAGGGUGGCAUUGAUACUGCAGGGCUUGAGUAAAGUUGAGGUUGGCGGAAUUGACGGUGUAGCGGUGAAAUGCGCAGAUAUCAGGAGGAACACCGGUGGCGAAGGCGGGUCUCUGGGCAACAACUGACGCUGAGGAGCGAAAGCGUGGGGAGCGAACAGG